This 253-nucleotide ribosomal RNA is filed under the name uncultured bacterium. Its description in RNAcentral is "partial 16S ribosomal RNA". It matches the Rfam family "Bacterial small subunit ribosomal RNA", at positions 524 to 776 of the family's 1533-position model. The record is from RNAcentral.
UACGAAGGGGGCUAGCGUUGUUCGGAAUUACUGGGCGUAAAGCGCGCGCAGGCGGUCUUCCAAGUCAGGGGUGAAAUCCUGGAGCUCAACUCCAGAACUGCCUUUGAUACUGAGGAUCUUGAGUUCGGGAGAGGUGAGUGGAACUGCGAGUGUAGAGGUGAAAUUCGUAGAUAUUCGCAAGAACACCAGUGGCGAAGGCGGCUCACUGGCCCGAUACUGACGCUGAGGCACGAAAGCGUGGGGAGCAAACAGG